Molecule: ribosomal RNA, 621 nt
Filed under: uncultured bacterium
Lineage: Bacteria
Description: bacterial SSU rRNA
Rfam family: Bacterial small subunit ribosomal RNA
Source: RNAcentral
CCUACGGGAGGCAGCAGUAGGGAAUCUUCCACAAUGGACGAAAGUCUGAUGGAGCAACGCCGCGUGAGUGAUGAAGGUUUUCGGAUCGUAAAACUCUGUUGUAAGGGAAGAACAAGUACGAGAGGGAAUGCUCGUACCUUGACGGUACCUUGCGAGAAAGCCACGGCUAACUACGUGCCAGCAGCCGCGGUAAUACGUAGGUGGCAAGCGUUGUCCGGAAUUAUUGGGCGUAAAGCGCGCGCAGGCGGCCUUUUAAGUCUGAUGUGAAAGCCCCCGGCUCAACCGGGGAGGGUCAUUGGAAACUGGAAGGCUUGAGUACAGAAGAGAAGAGUGGAAUUCCAUGUGUAGCGGUGAAAUGCGUAGAGAUGUGGAGGAACACCAGUGGCGAAGGCGACUCUUUGGUCUGUAACUGACGCUGAGGCGCGAAAGCGUGGGGAGCAAACAGGAUUAGAUACCCUGGUAGUCCACGCCGUAAACGAUGAGUGCUAGGUGUUGGGGGGUUUCCGCCCCUCAGUGCUGAAGCUAACGCAUUAAGCACUCCGCCUGGGGAGUACGGCCGCAAGGCUGAAACUCAAAGAGUAGUGCGUGNGAGAGCGACGACGACGACGAGGAGGGAGGAGG